RNAcentral lists this ribosomal RNA (261 nucleotides) under uncultured archaeon. RNAcentral's name for it is "partial 16S ribosomal RNA". It matches the Rfam family "Archaeal small subunit ribosomal RNA", at positions 748 to 1008 of the family's 1478-position model. The record is from RNAcentral.
AGGGUGUAAACGCUGCAGACUUGGUGUUGGAAGUCCUUUGGGGGCAUUCAGUGCCGGAGAGAAGUUGUUAAGUCUGCUACUUGGGGAGUACGUCCGCAAGGAUGAAACUUAAAGGAAUUGGCGGGGGAGCACCGCAACGGGAGGAGCGUGCGGUUUAAUUGGAUUCAACACCAUAAAACCCACCAGGGAAGACUGUUACAUGAAAGCCGAGAUGAAGACUCUGCUAGAUUUUCAGAGAGGAGGUGCAUGGCGUCAGUGACU